AACCUUAUGGACCUGCGGGCGUAUACCUGCGGAAGGAUCAUUACCUAGAGUUUGUAGACUUCGGUCUGCUACCUCUUACCCAUGUCUUUUGAGUACCUUCGUUUCCUCGGCGGGUCCGCCCGCCGGUUGGACAACAUUCAAACCCUUUGCAGUUGCAAUCAGCGUCUGAAAAAACAUAAUAGUUACAACUUUUAACAAUGGAUCU
RNAcentral lists this unclassified non-coding RNA (205 nucleotides) under soil metagenome. RNAcentral's name for it is "partial contains 5.8S ribosomal RNA, internal transcribed spacer 2, and large subunit ribosomal RNA". The record is from RNAcentral.